UACAGGGGGGGCAAGCGUUGUUCGGAAUUACUGGGCGUAAAGGGCUCGUAGGCGGCCAACUAAGUCACACGUGAAAUCCCCAGGCUUAACCUGGGAACUGCGUGUGAUACUGGAUGGCUUGAAUCCGGGAGAGGGAUGCAGAAUUCCAGGUGUAGCGGUGAAAUGCGUAGAUAUCGGGAGGAACACCUGUGGCGAAAGCGGCUCACUGGACCAUUACUGACGCUGAGGCACGAAAGCUAGGGGAGCAAACAGG
This 253-nucleotide ribosomal RNA is filed under the name uncultured bacterium. Its description in RNAcentral is "partial 16S ribosomal RNA". It matches the Rfam family "Bacterial small subunit ribosomal RNA", at positions 524 to 776 of the family's 1533-position model. The record is from RNAcentral.